Molecule: ribosomal RNA, 357 nt
Filed under: uncultured eukaryote
Lineage: Eukaryota
Description: partial 18S ribosomal RNA
Rfam family: Eukaryotic small subunit ribosomal RNA
Source: RNAcentral
CAGUAGCAUAUAUUAAAAUUGUUGCAGUUAAAAAGCUCAUAGUUGAAAUUCUGUACGGAUUGAGUGUCCAUGGAUGCACGAGCCGUACAUCCGUCUGAGCAGCAUGUCGCCACCUUGUGGAGAUAUGUGAUCAGACACUUUACCUUGAGCAAAUUAGAGUGUUCCAGGCAGGCGUACGCCUGAAUAGUCCAGCAUGGAAUAAUAGAAGAGGACUGAAAACCACUAUUGGUGUUGUGGUAUCAGUAAUGAUUAAUAGGGAUAGUUGGGGGCAUUCGUAUUUAAUUGUCAGAGGUGAAAUUCUAUGAUUUAUUAAAGACGAACCUAUGCGAAAGCAUUUGCCAAGGAUGUUUUCAUUAA